CCAGAUGAACUAAAUGCAUUUUAUGCUCGCUUCGAGGCAAGCAACACUGAAACAUGCACAAGAGCACCAGCUGUUCUGGAUGACUGUGUGAUAACUCUCUCGGUAGCCGACGUGAGCAAGCCCUUUAAACAGGUCAACAUUCACAAAGCCACGGGGCCAGAUCUAUUACCAGCAUGCGCCAGCAUGCGCUGACCAACUGGCAAGUGUCUUCACUGACAUUUUCAACCUCUCCCUGACUUAGUCAUAUAAUACCUCAUGUUUCUAGCAGACCACCAUAGUCCCUGUGCCCAAGGAAGCGAAGGUAACCUGCCAAAAUGUUUACCGCCCCGUAGCACUCACGUCGGCAGCGAUGAAGUGUAUAGCCUUGACAUAGCAUAGCCUUGACAUAGCAUAGCAUAGCCUUGACAUAGCAUAGCAUAGCAUUAACGAGAGAGGUUGACGCGGCACAUUUAUUGUGUGCUCAGGUAGGCUUUCCACUUUCCUCCGUUAUUUAUUUAGCAAAGAUAACACAAUCACUCCGGACAUAUACGUGCAAAAACUCACGACAUAAAUGUUGCAGCAGCCUAGGCUACACCUAAACGUUAGAAAUCUGACAUGCUGUAUCGGAUGAAAACGAGACAAUAUUUCCAUGUGAUCAACUAUUAAAAAUUGUCCCACUGCUCUGGGACCUAUGGUGCCACCAGUCUGCUUGCAGUUGUUAUGUUGAUGAUCAUUGAUUUAUUCAGGAACGUUUCUUAGUCCACUUUGAUGUGUCAAGUGGGUGAGAUGCGCGGUCUGUGUUUGACUUUAGGAAUUUUGAGAUGUCUGAUGUCUGAUGACGCUUCUGUAAUGGAAUGUAUCUGCUAUUUGUAUUUCCAGCUAAGUCCCCUCCUGUUCCUUGAUUAAGAGGUGAUGACCACUCCACUACCAUUGUCAACUUUCUCCUGACAUAAACUGAAGCCUCGUCUCAUGUGCCCGCUCACAUUUCCCCUCCAAGUACUUGGAGCCCUUGUGUGCAGCGGUUGGCUUACCAUUAGGCAGAAGAGGCAGUUGCGUCAGGCCUCACAUAUUGUAUCAUCAAGGGUGAGCUGGGCAUAAUUGAAAAAAUAAAUUACUUAGGUAAGCAGAUAUUUUAGUUAUCUAAUUUCUUCAGUAAAAAGACAGGUGCUGUUGAUAAUACUGCCAUAGUCGUCGAGGCAGAGGCCAUGUGUCUGAUGCUGUCUGGCCAAAACGAGCACGGCAUGUCAAACCUCAGACUGGACUCUGCCUGGAGCCUCCAAAUCACCUAGUCCCCCCUGCUUGCAUGCAACUCUUUGAGGGAAGGUUCACAGUUCCAUACAUUACAUAUCAUGAACUAUUGCCCUCUCGCACACAGUUAAAAGCACUACCUCCUACACUUCUGAUCCACUAACUGGCCUCUAUAACCUUAUACGACCUAGAGGGACCAAGA
Non-coding RNA from Oncorhynchus mykiss (rainbow trout), 1429 nucleotides. The record is from RefSeq and is a predicted model, not a curated record. NCBI's taxonomy places the organism in Eukaryota, Metazoa, Chordata, Actinopteri, Salmoniformes, Salmonidae.